Molecule: ribosomal RNA, 320 nt
Filed under: uncultured bacterium
Lineage: Bacteria
Description: bacterial SSU rRNA
Rfam family: Bacterial small subunit ribosomal RNA
Source: RNAcentral
AGAGUUUGAUUAUGGCUCAGGAUGAACGCUGGCGGCGUGCCUAAUACAUGCAAGUCGAACGAAGAAUCUUCGGAUUCUUAGUGGCGAACGGGUGAGUAAGACGUAAGCAACCUGCCUACCAGACUGGGAUAACGUUUGGAAACGGACGCUAAUACCGGAUAGGUAUUGAUGAGGCAUCUUAUCGAUAUUAAAGUUUAGAUACACUGAUAGAUGGGCUUACGGCGUAUUAGCUAGUUGGUGAGGUAACGGCCCACCAAGGCAACGAUACGUAGCCGGACUGAGAGGUUGAACGGCCACAUUGGGACUGAGACACGGCCCAA